Molecule: ribosomal RNA, 265 nt
Filed under: uncultured archaeon
Lineage: Archaea
Description: partial 16S ribosomal RNA
Rfam family: Archaeal small subunit ribosomal RNA
Source: RNAcentral
ACACGACUACAUUAGAUACCCGGGUAGUCCUAGCCGUAAACGAUACUCGCUAGGUGUCGGCCACGGUGCGACCGUUGUCGGUGCCGUAGGGAAGCCGUGAAGCGAGCCACCUGGGAUGUACGGCCGCAAGGCUGAAACUUAAAGGAAUUGGCGGGGGAGCACAACAACGGGUGGAGCUUGCGGUUUAAUUGGAUUCAACGCCGGAAAUCUUACCGGGACCGACAGCAACAUGAAGGCCAAGCUGAAGACUUUGCCGGAUUAGCUG